ACGAAAUCCAAACCAAGUUGUGCCUCCUUCGCAGUUUCCGUAAUCAGGAAGUAACGCUUUGUUUACAUCGUGGGCAAGUUAGGGGAAAAUAUCUCAAACCAGAGCUGUACAACAUGGCCGACGACGUACUCUGCGUUCCUACACCUAGAGAUGGUGUCCCAUAUUUACAAAGACCAAGCCUCAAGAGGGGAAAUGGACAAGGAUAGGGCCUCUUGUGUGUUCACUCUGGAAGGCAUGGGCUUCAGAGUAGGACACGGGCUUAGAGAAAGGCCAUAGCCACCAUGGUUCACUGCGACAGGCCCUCCCCUCACCAGAGUACUCACUGGGUCAUGAGGGCUAUGGGGGCACAUGCUGCCCUCGGGAUCAAACCUUUAGGCGGACAGAUUAAAAAGGAGAGAUUGGGUGGUUCUGCCCUCUCACCUUCCAAACCAGCUCAUCAUGGUAGAAAUGCAGAGCAGCACAACAGACACCUUCCCUGUCUCUUCUCAUCUCAGAACUGACACAGUCCUCAGUAGAAAGCCACAUCUCCUAAACCCAUAGAAGAGUUACUCUUGCUUAUCCUUCAAUGUUUCCCUAAUGAAAUGUUGUGUCAGUGGUAAUCCGGGCAUUCGUGGCCAGUCGACCCCCAUCGUGUCCUUCACAGCUGUCUCACCCUAUGUCAUCGCUGCUGGGAUCCAAUGGGCUACCCCCCAAAAAUAAUGACCCCUUUGUCCAACCCCUUUACCUCCUCCUCUACCCCAACCCUCCCACCUCCACCCAUUUGGCCUCUCCCCGGUCACAGAGCAUUUGUUUGCCUGUCUUUGGCUCUAAUGGAUGCCUUUUUGCCUUCCAUCUCUCUCCAUGACUGGCCAUGUACCUUUGCCCCUUUGUGCGGGAGCACCACAGCACUUUCUGUGUCUAAUUGAAUCAACAGGAUUGCUGUUUCAAGGAACGGAAUGGCAGGGUGGGGAAAGUCCAAGGGUGGGGAAGAGGCCACCUGUGCGGUACCUGCUGAGCAUGCCUGAUGGGUGUCAGGGCCUCUGCGUUGGGCUAAAUUAAGCCUGUGUGUAUUUUGCUAACUCUAAUGGGACCCAGAUGGAUAGAGGAGGCUGACUGUUUUUCUAGUGUAGGGUGAGCAAGGAGAAAGAUCCACUGGUGAACUCAUUACCAUGACCUGAGUGAGUUCCCCCCCCUUCUGGCCACACUGAUUAAUCCUGGGUUAUGAAGGUAAACAUAGAAAAUAUGUGACCGAAUUACGAUCUGUAUUUGUCAUUAGGAGUAAUUGAGGGAUAGAAUACAAUCGAACAAUCUGUUUUUGAGUGUUAAUGGAAAGUUUGAACAACUAUUGACUUUCCUUUGUGAAAGCAAUAUUACAACCCUUCAGUAGCAACACUUCACAUUAUGCUUUGGGAAAUUAAGCAUAUCAUGACAUACUCACCAACAUGAAACAACAUGAAAUUUGUCCAACAACAAUACGUGCGGCUCCUAUAAAAAUAUUUUUCACCUAGAGUCGGCCUUGCUUGGCUUUAACAGUGAGGGGAUACGGAACCAAACAACAAUUUCAACAACAGUAGGCCAACAAAGCAACCUAAACAAACAUCGGCUCAAACAGACACGGCUGAGAGACCAUAAAACCAUGAUUUUCAUGAAGGCCUGGCAGAAACCUGGAAGUUGGGAAAUGGUUAGCCAGCUAGCGGCCUGUUGAUGCCUAAUCAUCUCAACAUGUUCUGACCCAGAGCCCAUCUGCCUUACCUCUGCCUGGGGGGUGGCUGGAGGUUUGGGUGGAGCGCACACCUCCCCCUCCACCACCUCCCUCCUCCCCAUCCGCCUCUCUCUCCAUACCCUCAGGAUUCACAAAUCAGCCCAGUAACCAGAUUAUUUGUCAAGUGGCCUUAAGGAGGAACAAACAACAGAGCCUAAAGAGAGGGUGAGGUGUGGGACUGUUUUAGAUUUUGGAGUUGUUCAAAUGGUGACCUACGUAGUGCUGGGGGUAGGGCAACACAGGAUUGUGGGGGAGGGGAUCUGUCUCUUUUUCUAAGCAUCCCCUCAGCCAUACAUUUUGUAUAUAGGCUUUUUUUAGAAAUUGUUAUUACGGGAAAGCAAUGCUGACGGAAUACAAAACUGUGGUGCUCUGCGGAAAAGUGCUGAAAUACUAACAAGGAAAUUCCCUCGGUCUGAGAUACAGAUAAAGAAAUAUAACUCACUCUGUCUCUCACUAAUUACUAUAACAAAUGGUCAAACGUCUUUAUGAAAGAACAGUUUGUGUUCUCUCAUGGCAGUGUGACAUCUGAUUCCUGCCCCAGCCCCCAUGUGAUUGUACCGAUAACAGGGAACUCUGAAAUGUCAUAUCACUCUAACCUGGUUUUCUCCCCCAUCCAUUUCCACUCUGAACCAGCCAAGCCAUUUUGCUCCCCCGUGGAAGGACAUUAUAUUCCAAAACAAUACCAAGCACUAAGAGGUAGUUUUAGAAAAGCUUUACAAUUGGGAGAGAUGGGUGAUGGGAAACGCACAAAAAUGGUGUCCCUGCCGUUUAGGAUUAACUUGCAUAUCUAUAUCUUAUACAUUCCAUCGGUACAUUCGGCAUUCUUUCCGGUUGACUGGCAGUAAUAGUAUUCCAUUUCAAGACUCAUACUAAUACCUUAUCACAACGGAAAUUGAUGAACAUUUUAUGGUCAACAAAUCUUUGUAAACCAUCUAAUCCGUAUUGAUUAUAUUCCUACAAAAAAAGAGAGAAAAAAAUCCAAGAUGCCAAACUAGCUACUUUUACACAAAAAAAAAAAACGGCAUUUAAUUUGAUACAACCCCAUUUCCUUCAGAGGUGAAUACAGGUAACUGCCAAAACAAAGGACAAACAAACAUAAAGUGUCUUAAUAGGGCUUUAGGCCACCGUGGGUCGCCAGAACAGCUUCAAUGCACCUUGGCAUAGAUUCUACAAGUGUCUGGAACUCUACUGGGGGGAUGUGACACCAUUCUCCAGCAGGAAAUUACAUCACUUGUUAUUUUGUUGAUGGUGGUGGAAAACGGUGUCUCAGGCACCGCUCCAGAAUCUCCCAUAGGUGUCCAAUUGGGUUGAGAUCUGGUGACUAAACUGACACACACACACACCCUUUAACCCCACUAUGCUUCUUUGAGACCCCUCUUUCAAAGUCUCUGACAUUUUUUCUUCUAUCCAUGGAAGCCAAAAUAAUGGGCAACUGGGCAUUUUUAUGCAUGACCUUAAGCAUGAUGGGAUGUUAAUUGCACCUCUCUGAU
Oncorhynchus tshawytscha (Chinook salmon) is the source of this 3231-nucleotide RNA transcript. RefSeq lists it as uncharacterized. NCBI's taxonomy places the organism in Eukaryota, Metazoa, Chordata, Actinopteri, Salmoniformes, Salmonidae. The transcript is spliced from 5 exons. The record is from RefSeq and is a predicted model, not a curated record.